This 870-nucleotide ribosomal RNA is filed under the name Septoria lepidiicola. RNAcentral's name for it is "LSU rRNA". It matches the Rfam family "Eukaryotic large subunit ribosomal RNA", at positions 35 to 934 of the family's 3401-position model. Lineage: Eukaryota; Fungi; Ascomycota; Dothideomycetes; Mycosphaerellales; Mycosphaerellaceae. The record is from RNAcentral.
UAAGCAUAUCAAUAAGCGGAGGAAAAGAAACCAACAGGGAUUGCCCUAGUAACGGCGAGUGAAGCGGCAACAGCUCAAAUUUGAAAUCUGGCGCAAGCCCGAGUUGUAAUUUGUAGAGGAUGCUUCUGGGUAGCGACCGAUCUAAGUUCCCUGGAACAGGACGUCAUAGAGGGUGAGAAUCCCGUAUGUGACCGGCCCGCACCCUUUACGUAGCUCCUUCGACGAGUCGAGUUGUUUGGGAAUGCAGCUCUAAAUGGGAGGUAAAUUUCUUCUAAAGCUAAAUACCGGCCAGAGACCGAUAGCGCACAAGUAGAGUGAUCGAAAGAUGAAAAGUACUUUGGAAAGAGAGUUAAAAAGCACGUGAAAUUGUUGAAAGGGAAGCGCCUGCAACCAGACUUCGUGGCAGUGUUCCGCCGGUCUUCUGACCGGCUUAUUCUCUGUCGCGAGGCCAUCAUCGUCUAGGCCCGCCGGAUAAGACCUUAGGAAUGUAGCUCACCUUCGGGGGAGUGUUAUAGCUUAUGGUGAUGCGGCGCGGCUUGGGCGAGGUCCGCGCUUCGGCAAGGAUGAUGGCGUAAUGGUUGUCGGCGGCCCGUCUUGAAACACGGACCAAGGAGUCUAACAUCUAUGCGAGUGUUCGGGUGUCAAACCCCUACGCGUAAUGAAAGUGAACGGAGGUGGGAACCGCAAGGUGCACCAUCGACCGAUCCUGAUGUCCUCGGAUGGAUUUGAGUAAGAGCAUAGCUGUUGGGACCCGAAAGAUGGUGAACUAUGCCUGAAUAGGGUGAAGCCAGAGGAAACUCUGGUGGAGGCUCGCAGCGGUUCUGACGUGCAAAUCGAUCGUCAAAUUUGGGUAUAGGGGCGAAAGACUAA